RNAcentral lists this ribosomal RNA (292 nucleotides) under uncultured bacterium. RNAcentral describes it as "partial 16S ribosomal RNA". The record is from RNAcentral.
GGACUACUCGGGUAUCUAAUCCUGUUUGCUCCCCACGCUGUCGCGCCUCAGCGUCAGUUACGGACCAGGUCGCCGCCUUCGCCACCGGUGUUCUUCCCAAUAUCUACGAAUUUCACCUCUACACUGGGAAUUCCACGACCCUCUUCCGCACUCCAGCAAUCCAGUCUCGAAGGCAUUUCCGAGGUUGAGCCCCGGGCUUUCACCCCCGACUUGAACCGCCGCCUACGCGCGCUUUACGCCCAGUAAUUCCGAACAACGCUAGCCCCCUUCGUAUUACCGCGGCGGCUGGCAC